GAUGAACGCUGGCGGUGUGCCUAAUACAUGCAAGUCGAGCGAACAGACGAGGAGCUUACUCCUCUGACGUUAGCGGCGGACGGGUGAGUGACACGUGGAUAACCUACCUAUAAGACUGGGAUAACUUCGGGAAACCGGAGCUAAUACCGGAUAACAUGUUGAACCGCAUGGUUCAACAGUGAAAGACGGUCUUGCUGUCACUUAUAGAUGGAUCCGCGUCGCAUUAGCUAGUUGGUAAGGUAACGGCUUACCAAGGCAACGAUGCGUAGCCGACCUGAGAGGGUGAUCGGCCACACUGGAACUGAGACACGGUCCAGACUCCUACGGGAGGCAGCAGUAGGGAAUCUUCCGCAAUGGGCGAAAGCCUGACGGAGCAACGCCGCGUGAGUGAAGAAGGUCUUCGGAUCGUAAAACUCUGUUAUUAGGGAAGAACAAAUGUGUAAGUAACUAUGCACGUCUUGACGGUACCUAAUCAGAAAGCCACGGCUAACUACGUG
This 497-nucleotide ribosomal RNA is filed under the name uncultured bacterium. Its description in RNAcentral is "partial 16S ribosomal RNA". It matches the Rfam family "Bacterial small subunit ribosomal RNA", at positions 28 to 507 of the family's 1533-position model. The record is from RNAcentral.